RNAcentral lists this long non-coding RNA (419 nucleotides) under Elaeis guineensis (African oil palm). RNAcentral describes it as "long non-coding RNA (EGUI_LNC040869)". The record is from RNAcentral. Lineage: Eukaryota; Viridiplantae; Streptophyta; Magnoliopsida; Arecales; Arecaceae.
GUCUCUCCAAAUCAUGGAGGGACUAUGUGAAGGAGGUCAUUUAGUAUAUAACACCAGACUCCAAUCGGUCCAGACUUCGACCCAUGACCUAAACUUCGCUUGUCGAUCCUAGUUUCUAUGACAAGUUAACAUCUGGAUAGAUCGAUCUUAGACUUCGACGGCAAAUUGUAGGUAUACUUCUGCCCCUACCGAUUCUUAUCCCAGUGAACACAACUGACCUUAGCCAUCUUCUUCCUUCAAUGCCUAUAUUCAUCAGACCACUCCGAACUCUCCUCAAUUAAAGCUAGUCUGAUCCUACUUGUGUCUUCAUUUCAAAUUCAAAAGUGCUUGUGACACCACUGUUAGCUUCAAAAUAGAUAAGGCAAGCAUAAAUAUCCAGUCUUGAAGAUCUCGAAUGAAAAUCUUACUAUAUCACAUCC